RNAcentral lists this transfer RNA (72 nucleotides) under Camelus bactrianus (Bactrian camel). It matches the Rfam family "tRNA". Rfam says of the family: Transfer RNA (tRNA) molecules are approximately 80 nucleotides in length. Their secondary structure includes four short double-helical elements and three loops (D, anti-codon, and T loops). Further hydrogen bonds mediate the characteristic L-shaped molecular structure. tRNAs have two regions of fundamental functional importance: the anti-codon, which is responsible for specific mRNA codon recognition, and the 3' end, to which the tRNAs corresponding amino acid is attached (by aminoacyl-tRNA synthetases). tRNAs cope with the degeneracy of the genetic code in two manners: having more than one tRNA (with a specific anti-codon) for a particular amino acid; and 'wobble' base-pairing, i.e. permitting non-standard base-pairing at the 3rd anti-codon position. RNAcentral also lists the same sequence under 2 other names. The record is from Rfam by way of RNAcentral. Lineage: Eukaryota; Metazoa; Chordata; Mammalia; Artiodactyla; Camelidae.
AAGGGUAUAGCUCAGUGGUAGAAUGCCUGCCUGGCAUGCACAAGGUCCUGGGUUCAAUUCCCAGUACCUCCA